This 1652-nucleotide long non-coding RNA is filed under the name Linum usitatissimum (flax). RNAcentral's name for it is "long non-coding RNA (LUSI_LNC003780)". The record is from RNAcentral. Lineage: Eukaryota; Viridiplantae; Streptophyta; Magnoliopsida; Malpighiales; Linaceae.
GCUACUGAAUCACAGGUUUGUCUCUGAAUUGAACGAUUUCCGAUUUGGUUUUCAUGCAUCCUUAAUAUUCAAACUAAUAUUCCAUGUCUAGCUUUCAAUUGAACGAGUUCAGAGGAAUCGAUAACUAAGGAAUCUCAGGUUCCCCAAUUCUCCCCCAAUGCUCCCCCAAUGCUCCCCCAAAACCCCUAAAGCCGUAUACAAAUCAGUCCACAAACUCACAAAGUCCCAAGAAAUAAAUAUUACAAAACACUAAAAAAAUUUACAGGUGUCUUCUGUCGUCAUCCACGUAGAAGCCGUCAAAAGAGGAUUUUGUCGUCACCCACAAAGGGCGUCGCCUCCUGAAACACAAGAAAGAAACUUCGUAUCAAAGGUAUACCAUUCACAAACAUCCCUAUUUUCGAUCAUUCACAUGUCACUCAUAUUUUCAGCUCACGCAUAUGAAUAUGUUUGUUAUGCUAUGUUGUUUAAAGCCAGUUUUAAAUGAAUGAAUAAUCCAUCUUAGCAAACAAUGGACUAAACAAUAAAAUAAACAUACUUAAACAAAUAAAAGUUGUUGGAAAUUACAUUUACAAGAGAUUAAAAGACCAUAUAUCAUCAGUUUCACACCAUUUACGCCAAGAACUCACAACAUAGUUAUGAAAUUAAGCUAAAAAUAUAUUUUUCUAUUAAACAUCAUUGCUGGAAUUUUAUCAAGGAUGACAAAAUAAUCAAAUUUUCAAGCAAAUGGGUAGUUUUUAGGGUGUCCAGAUUACUAAGUUCAUCUUAACAACAAAAUAGUCAAGUUUUAUUUGUUUCAAGUGACCUAAUCAACAACAAAACUACAACCAUCUACCAAGCAAAAUAAGAACAUAUGGAGACUAAUUGUUUUACUUUUCAGAGACAAUCUUUUCCCUUUCCUCCCAAUUUUCUAAAACAAGUCGGUUCUACCCAUUUUCGUAGACAUGAAAAAAAUCAAAAAAAUCGUCAUUCAGUUUCGUUAUCAACUAAACAGAGACUAAUAAAAAGAAACAUGACAUAAUUUUUUUUACCUAACACUCUUUCUCUCUGUUUGUCUCUUCAACGUUGCCGCUGGCGGUGGGGUCUUUUUUUUCCUGUCCACCGGCAUCCUCCGAUGCAUGCUUGCCCGGAUCCGUUCGAAAUUGAAAAAAUAAAAGAGUGAGGGGACAGAUCGGAGUGGUUACCUUGAUUUCUUUCCAUUGCCUUCGAGGAAGAGACAACGACGGCGCCGUUGUCGCCACCACUGCGAGUGACGAGUGAAGAGCGGAGAAGGGGUGAGCCAAAACAGGGAAAGAGGGAAACAAAGAGGGGGAAGAAAAAAAAAGAGGAAAAAGAGGAGCGGCGAAACUGAGGGGAAGUUGAGGGAAGCAAAGAAGGGAAAAGGAGGAGAAAAGGAGGUGGAGAGGAAAAAAAUAAGGAGAGGAGAAGAAGAACAAGAGAAAGAAAAGAGAGGGGAGAGAGGAGCGGCGUCGCUCCCCCGAUGAAAGGCGGGAGGAAAAGAAUGAGAAGAAGGAGAAAAAGGAGGAGAGGAGGUGAAGAAGGAUAGGAGAAGAAAAAAAGGGAGGAAGGAAAAAAGAGCGAUGAUAGAAUAAAGGAGGGAACGAAGAGGAGAAGUGGAGGAGAGGAAGAGAGCUAGGGCUAGGGCCCAGUUCGAG